CUUCUCCUCAUCUUUUCAUAGAUCACUAGUCUCUUUAAAGUCUAUGUGCAGCGAGAAAAGCUGCUUUGCCUCGGCAAGAUUUGAUUACUGUGACUGUGACUAAGCUAUUACCGUUACGGAUGGAUAAGUCUGUCUUAGUCUGCGUCAUAGGACCCAGAGGCUCCAGCUAACGUCAUCCUGUUACCAGGCACCACAGGACCGGCCAUUGUCCAUUCUCUGGAUAAGGACGUGAACUUAAUGAAAAAGAGCCUUAUAUUUAGAAAUAUGUAUUGUCCCCAAAGUGUAAUUCAGCUGCAGCAUACUAGACCCAAACUACGGGGCCAGAACACUGACUUUAAUCUUUGGAAUUGAAGAUAAUAUUUGGCAUUUCAAUAAAACUUGUCUGUCUUUUUACAAUAUCAUUUCUUUUUCUGUUUUUUUCAAGUUUCAAAGUUUCCUACUAAUGUUGCGACGAGUCGGUCCUUUAAAAAGCAUGAUGAGUAGAUGAGUAAGUUGAAAGCGAAAACCUAAACACUGAAACUGAAAAAAACAAAAACAAAAAAAACCCCACAAAAAACGUCAAACCAGUAAGACUGAAAAACACGAAAUUUUGACAUUUUGCUGCUGUAUUAUGCAUUAUGUUAACCCGCCUAUCAAAUUUCACCUCCAGCCGUCACUGGCAGGUAGAAUCUACCGGGGGACAGGCGACACACAGACAACGUGUGAUGUUUUAUAGCUGCAAUGGUCCUGGGAAUAAAUUAGUGAUGAGCUCCACUGAACCCUAGAAUAAACAAUGACUGUAGACGUGUCCUCCGGGGUUCAUCCUUGCUGUAGUUGUAAAGCUGCAGGCCUAACAACGCCCCUAAGUGAAACCCAUAAACAUAUACCCAUAAUACUACUUUUCAGUGGUAUAAACUGAGCAUUGAGGUGCUACACAGAUCAGUCUUACAUCGUGAGGAGCCCAGAGUCACAUUUUUCUGACAGAGCCUCUAACACAAUAAAGGGAAGGGCAACAGGGAGCAGAUGUGGCUGGAAAGAGAAAACUCUCUGGACACCUGACAUCUGCUGCAUUCGCGCAUUUGUGGAGGCGUGAUUACGCCGCUCCUUUUUCACCAUUUAUUCAUCCACCGCAGCAGCUUUAUUAUUUUUACUUUUGAAGUGAGUAUGGGAUUUCAAAUGGCUCCUUCAACAAGAGGCUGCUACGCCCAGUCUCCUUUCCUUUCCCCUCAGCAGUCCAUUUUUUAGCCUUUCUCUGCCUGUUUCACUUCUCUUUAUUCACUAUAUUCAGGAAUCUUAUUACGUAUAUUCAGCCUGCUUACCACUUCAACCCUUAAUUUCCCCCCAAAAUAAAGUAUUAUCUUAUUGUAUCAGUAUGUAGCUGUAGUUGUAAAUAUUCAGUUGCAGCAUACAAGACCCAGUUUCAACAUGAUUUUGUCUGGGGUGUCUCCUGGGGCACCCACUCAUCCUUGCAUGCUACAAAAAUUUGAUUUUUGCACACAUAAAUGCACAAUUUCUCUGAGAUGAAUACUGACAAAAAAAAUCGACUAGCGAUUCGCAAAGUGAGGUCCGUGAAAGCCCAGGCUUAACAAUGUCACUGAUUUUCAAUAAAUUGUUAAUAAUCUGACACCAAUAAAAACAUAUUGAAAUGUGAAAUAUGAGCUUUUCUUUAUUCCAAAAGUGCACUGCAAAUUAGUAGAAAUAUAAAAAAUACAAACCUGAGUAAACAAUGUAUAAGGCCACAUCAAAAGAAUAGCUAAUGCUGGAUGUCCACUCCAUGAAAGGGCAACAUGAUGGACAAGGGGACAUCUAACUCCAAAAUAUGACCACUCAUCAGCAUUUUUUGGAAUCAUAUCGCUCACUACACACUGUGACUUUAGUUUUUGAGGUGGAAGUGGGAUUGAAAAGUCCAAUAUGCUAAACCACAUCAUGGCUUGAGUUUAGGUCCUGAACUGACCUGGUUGCACUUCAGAAGGAAAGACAAAAGACUUGAUAAGAUUGUAAUUUUUGGGGACAAAUAUUUUGUGCCAGAUCCUUUUUUUUUAUAUUUGGUACUUUCAAAAUGUAAAUAUUUUUUGUUAUGUAACCAAACUGCACAAUUAUGUAUAUUAUUUAUGAACAAAUAUUUGUGAGCAGAGUAGCAAGCACACAUUUCAUUAUAUAUGAUAAAUUAUAUCAUUUAAUUUCUGCUUCAUAAGGACAGACUCACCACAACAUUAAGAAACUACUUUGUUUUAGCAAGCUUAGCUUAGCUUAGCGUAGCUAACUUCUUCCAGCAGACUGUGACGGUCCUUAUAAAGCACAAGAUAAAUUUAAUGCUGCAGAGUCCUAGAUGAAGAACAGCAAAAGAAAACAACAGACUUGGUGACGGUUGGGGAGCUCCAUGCAAACUGAUUCUGUUCGUGUUAUCUCCUGGUAGCAGCAGCAGAAUCCGCCGACUUUGGUCUCAGUCCCAUUUUAUAACCUGCCACUAAGUUUAAACUGCAAAAUAAAACACUUAAGCAAAGUUUUGCAUUUCUAGGUUUAAAAGAAAGGACUGGUUAAUGGCAAGUGUAGCCCAGAAUUCACUUUUCUGUUUUUAAAUGUCUGCUUUUUGGAGGAGAUACAACAUGGAACCAACAAGGAAUUGUGGAUUCGUAAACAUUUGUUGGACACAAUUAGAAAACAUGGAUGCAGCGCAAGUCACAUACUUGAAGUUAUUUAUUUAUUUAUUUGUUAAUAUUUCACACAUUUUGCAUGAAAACACCAACUGAGUCUGUUAAAAGUGUCUGUCAAUGAAAUGUUGUGAUCGUCAUGUCAGUCUUAUGAUUAAGGGAACAGUUCCCGCUCUAGCAUCAGCAUGUGCUGGUUGUUCUGUUUUAUCAUUACAUUACAUUUGUUUUUGUGUGUUUUCAUAUUGUGAUAUUAUAUUCUACUGUCCCAGGUCCAAAGUGCACAAUCUUUUCAUUUGAUUAAUUUGAGAAUUUGGGGCCACAGCUUGUCUCAGAUGAGAACCACUGAUGUGAAGCACUAAAAAAUUAUAGUGGACCUGUAACUGAUGUAACUGUGUGUUUUGUUUUGUAACCUGUGUUAUGCGUAUGAGCUUUACGGAGUCCUAGAAUAAACGAUGACUCGUGCCCUCUGGGUUCGCUCUUCUUCUAUUUUUAGCUGCUGAACACACAGCUUCGACUUUACCUACCAGAUCUGGAACAACCUGCGACAAUAACAUAAACAGAUGACACUCACUGUAGAUGUAUGAGUUUUACUCUACACAAAAGCAAGACGGAGGAACUAAUCGUGAUCAAAAUGAUUGCGGUCGCUGGAGCCUGGACAGAUCAGAUUAUGAUCACAGCUUUCAUAUAGAUAGUUGACCAAAACACAAUUGUAUGUAAGCAGAGUGCUGGGAUGAGGAUGAGGAGGAGCAGGAUGACGCUCCGCUGCACCACUAAUGUGCCUCCUGCCGUGCAGUGCGCACUGCGCAUCCAAAGCGCAGGUAGUUGAAGGCAAAAACAACGUCGCAAAAAGGACAUGGGGGCAAAGGUAAGAAGAGGAAGAAAGAGGAAGAGGAGAAAACGCCAAGAUAAAGGUCCAUCUCCAUCCUCUACAGAGCUUUCUCUCCUGCCCCAUCCUCUGUUCCCACUGUCUCUUGUACACUGAUGGGUAGCUCUAUGAAUAGCCUGAGCUCUCUCAGAGCGGAGCUUUUCAAAGCUCAAAUUAAUGAAGAACUACUUGAGAUCGCCCAUGGUACAAGGAAGGAUGAGUGGACUGGCAGUGAUUAGUAUUAACAACAACGUUGGCCAUCAGAGUUCUUACAGUGACGUCAUAAAUGACUUUGCCUCCCCCUUUAAUGAGUGGGUGGAGUGUUGAGGAAGAACAGUCACAUUACAAAACAGUCAAAUGCGUGGAUUAAGAUAGUUUAUUUUGAUCAUUAUUUUUUUUUUCAAAAGCUUUUGCUCAUAAUUACAUACAUUUGUAUAGUUUUAAGACCUAAUCACUGAACUUUAUGUUUUUUAAGCCAUUCUUGUUACUUUCUUUCAGAGAACUCAUGUCAUUAUUUAAGUGUUUGCUUGAUUAUUAUAUUUAAUUUUGUCUCUUUUGUACAGGUGAGUUUGUGAAUAUUUUUAUAAAUCUAAGUGUCUAAAUUUAUUUGUUGUUGCACUAUAAAUUAUUUUUGCAAUUUUUUGAA
Long non-coding RNA from Mugil cephalus (flathead mullet), 4141 nucleotides. RefSeq lists it as uncharacterized. NCBI's taxonomy places the organism in Eukaryota, Metazoa, Chordata, Actinopteri, Mugiliformes, Mugilidae. The transcript has 3 exons. The record is from RefSeq and is a predicted model, not a curated record.